Molecule: ribosomal RNA, 468 nt
Filed under: uncultured bacterium
Lineage: Bacteria
Description: partial 16S ribosomal RNA
Rfam family: Bacterial small subunit ribosomal RNA
Source: RNAcentral
GACGAACGCUGGCGGCGUGCUUAAUACAUGCAAGUCGAACGGACAGGCGCUGCUUUUGUUGGUUGCUCGUGUGGCGAAGGGGUGUGUAACACGUGAGUAACCUGCCCCUGUCUUUGGGAUAACUUCACGAAACUGGGGCUAUUACCGGAUAGGAUCUCUUGCUGCACGGUGGGGGUUGGAAAGUUUCGGCGGUUGGGGAUGGUAUAGCGGCUUAUCAGCUUGUUGGUGGGGUAGUGACUUACCAAGGCUAUGACGGGUAGCCGGCCUGAGAGGGUUAACGGCGACAUUGGGACUAAGAUACGGCCCAGUCUGCAACGGUAGGCAGCAGUGGGGAGUAUUGCACAAUGGGCGGAAGCCAGAGGCAGCAACGCUGCGUGCGGGAUGACGUCCUACGAGGUGUAAACCGCUUUCGCCGGUAACGAAGCGUUAGUGACGGUAAUGGGUAAAAAAGCACCGGCUAACUACGUG